Anneissia japonica is the source of this 1643-nucleotide long non-coding RNA. RefSeq lists it as uncharacterized. The record is from RefSeq and is a predicted model, not a curated record. The transcript is spliced from 3 exons. NCBI's taxonomy places the organism in Eukaryota, Metazoa, Echinodermata, Crinoidea, Comatulida, Comatulidae.
UUUAAGACCCAUCGCCCAAGAUAUGUAGUAGUUGAGCUCUGGAUCUCAUGAAGUUUAGAACUGGGAAAUCCCGAUGUUAGUGUCUAGUAAGUUCAUCAUGAAUCUACAAGAUUUAGGUGAGGACGAUAAGUAAGUUCACAAUAUUAAAAGACGUAAUCGACGAAAGGCUAACCCUCAAAGAAGCGGAACACCCGAGCACGCUUUUUAAAGCAACUUAAUGCAGUCAAAACCAAGUUUGUUGAAUGUGUGAACGUUUUAUCAUGGGAGGAAGCAGUAGAGCGGUUCCCAAAACAUACCAAUGAAUCUUCCUUUAAACUUUUUACAGAGACAAAAUUAAAAGUGACUAAAAAGCAGAUGCCAUCAGGACUUCUGUCCCAUUGUAUGGAUGCACUUCAGUGGGAGCCACAACAACGUAACUUAAAAGGAUUGUCACCAUCAUCGGCACAAUCCUGUGUUUAAUUCACAACACAGCACGUGCCAUGUAAAUGCAAUGUUCUACGCAUUUUUAAUGCGCAGAAAAUCGCUAGCAAACCACGACAUGGGGCUGAAUCGUGGCGUUCUAGUCCUGAAAAAAGUUAGUACUUAUGUACAUUAUUUUAUUUUUUCUGCACAUUUCACAGAAAUAAACUCCUUUGAUGGUGUCGCUACAGCAUCAGGCUAUCCAUAGGUGGAAUGAAGAAGGAUUCUGAUACAACUAACGGUCUAGGUGUAAUAAAACAAAACUAAAUUUUAGAUCCUUCAUUUAUUUAAAUUACGGGGUAAAAUUUGUAAUGAAGCCGUGUUAGUCUAAACAAUAUACACAGAUUAUUACACAUACAAUACAUACAAUAUUACACAGUCUCCGGGGAGACCGAUCAUCGUGUCCCACUUAUCAUCCCCUAUAAUCCACUUGUUAAGCCUUUACAACACAUUAUCAACGAUCUACAACCUAUACUAGAUAGUGACCCUGUACUUCACAAAAUCAUACCUAACAAACAUGUGCUUGCGUACAAACAACCACCCAACCUCAAACAAUAGCUUACUUCAAACAAAACACCCCACACCCCCACCACUAAGGGCACCAUUCCAUGUAACCAACAGAAAUGUCGCCUUUGCCCACAUAUAAACACUAGCAAUACCAUAACAGGGCCUAAUCAAGUUACAUACAAUAUCAGUGGAUCAUUUUCAUGUUUUUCAUCUAACGCCAUCUAUGCCAUUACAUGCACUGAAUGUCCUGGUACUAUUUACAUAGGAGAAACUUGCCAAACUGUCAGACAACGCAUGAAUGGUCAUAAAUUUGACAUUCGUCACAACAAAAAAGAUAGGCCCAGUUCAUUUUAAUUUACCAGGACAUAAUAUUACACACUUUACAGUAGCUGUGCUCUUGAGUAAUUGCUUUAAAAACAGAAAUGAGAGAUAAAUUGCUAAACAAACAUUAUUCAUAAAUUUGAUAGUAUUAAUAGUGGCCUCAAUAUAGAUGUAGGCUUUCUCAGCCACUAUAAGAUUUAGUUUGUUACCGACUCCAUUGUUCAUUUUAGCACCAUGACCACACAGAUAGUUUAUCUCCCUGAGCUCUAUUUAUUAGUUGUAUUGUAAGUAGCUUGAUCACACUUGUUAUCUCUGAUCAUUAUAUAUUACAUUGUAUCCGACUGCUAAUUGGUUAA